CGACCGGCGCACGGGUGCGUAACGCGUAUGCAACCUACCUUUAACAGGGGGAUAACGCUGAGAAAUUGGUACUAAUACCCCAUAAUAUCAUAGAAGGCAUCUUUUAUGGUUGAAAAUUCCGAUGGUUAGAGAUGGGCAUGCGUUGUAUUAGCUAGUUGGUGGGGUAACGGCUCACCAAGGCGACGAUACAUAGGGGGACUGAGAGGUUAACCCCCCACACUGGUACUGAGACACGGACCAG
RNAcentral lists this ribosomal RNA (241 nucleotides) under uncultured bacterium. RNAcentral describes it as "partial 16S ribosomal RNA". It matches the Rfam family "Bacterial small subunit ribosomal RNA", at positions 92 to 334 of the family's 1533-position model. The record is from RNAcentral.